RNAcentral lists this ribosomal RNA (230 nucleotides) under uncultured bacterium. RNAcentral describes it as "partial 16S ribosomal RNA". It matches the Rfam family "Bacterial small subunit ribosomal RNA", at positions 562 to 791 of the family's 1533-position model. The record is from RNAcentral.
AAAGGGUGUGUAGGCGGGUAUUUAAGUCAGUGGUGAAAUCUCCGAGCUCAACUCGGAAACUGCCAUUGAUACUAUUUAUCUUGAAUAUUGUUGAGGUAGGCGGAAUAUGUCAUGUAGCGGUGAAAUGCUUAGAUAUGACAUAGAACACCGAUUGCGAAGGCAGCUUGCUAAACAAUUAUUGACGCUGAGGCACGAAAGCGUGGGGAUCAAACAGGAUUAGAUACCCUAGU